RNAcentral lists this ribosomal RNA (380 nucleotides) under uncultured eukaryote. RNAcentral's name for it is "partial 18S ribosomal RNA". It matches the Rfam family "Eukaryotic small subunit ribosomal RNA", at positions 592 to 976 of the family's 1831-position model. The record is from RNAcentral.
CAAUAGCGUAUAUUAAAGUUGUUGCAGUUAAAAAGCUCGUCGUUGGAUUUGUGGCGUACGGUGUGUUCCGGGCACUUGUUGUCUGAGUAACCUGCUGUUGCCAUCCUUGGGUGGAACCUGUGUGGCAUUAGGUUGUCGUGCAGGGGAUGCCCAUCAUUUACUGUGAAAAAAUUAGAGUGUUCAAAGCAGGCUUAUGCCGUUGAAUAUAUUAGCAUGGAAUAAUGAGAUAGGACUUUUUUGCUAUUUUGUUGGUUUGCGCAAAGAGGUAAUGAUUAAUAGGGACAGUUGGGGGUAUUCGUAUUCCAUUGUCAGAGGUGAAAUUCUUGGAUUUUUGGAAGACGAACUACUGCGAAAGCAUUUACCAAGGAUGUUUUCAUUAA